RNAcentral lists this ribosomal RNA (402 nucleotides) under uncultured bacterium. RNAcentral describes it as "bacterial SSU rRNA". It matches the Rfam family "Bacterial small subunit ribosomal RNA", at positions 355 to 774 of the family's 1533-position model. The record is from RNAcentral.
UGGGGAAUAUUGGACAAUGGGCGCAAGCCUGAUCCAGCCAUGCCGCGUGAGUGAUGAAGGCCUUAGGGUUGUAAAGCUCUUUCGCCGGUGAAGAUAAUGACGGUAACCGGAGAAGAAGCCCCGGCUAACUUCGUGCCAGCAGCCGCGGUAAUACGAAGGGGGCUAGAGUUGCUCGGAAUUACUGGGCGUAAAGCGCACGUAGGCGGUUUCUUAAGUCGGGGGUGAAAACCUGGAGCUCAACUUCAGAACUGCCUUCGAUACUGGGAAACUUGAGUUCAGGAGAGGUGAGUGGAACUGCGAGUGUAGAGGUGAAAUUCGUAGAUAUUCGCAAGAACACCAGUGGCGAAGGCGGCUCACUGGCCCGAUACUGACGCUGAGGUGCGAAAGCGUGGGGAGCAAACA